Molecule: long non-coding RNA, 197 nt
Organism: Xenopus tropicalis (tropical clawed frog)
Lineage: Eukaryota; Metazoa; Chordata; Amphibia; Anura; Pipidae
Exons: 4
Source: RefSeq, a predicted model, not a curated record
CAGAGACUGCUCCUAAAAGAGAUAUACUAACCAUUUCUUUCAGUGCUGGUGCUGCAGGCAUCAUAAUACUCAUCUCAGUGGCAGUUUAUCUGGCUUACACUAAUAAAGGCUUCAAUUUUAACAGAGAAGUGGGGCCUAUAGUCUACACAGACUUCACAGAACCAAGAGCUGACAACCUCCACAUAUCAUCACAAGAG